Molecule: ribosomal RNA, 292 nt
Filed under: uncultured microorganism
Description: partial 16S ribosomal RNA
Rfam family: Bacterial small subunit ribosomal RNA
Source: RNAcentral
GUGCCAGCAGCCGCGGUAAUACGUAGGGUGCGAGCGUUAAUCGGAAUUACUGGGCGUAAAGCGUGCGCAGGCGGUUUGGCAAGUCAGAUGUGAAAUCCCCGAGCUCAACUUGGGAACUGCGUUUGAAACUGCCAGACUAGAAUGUGUCAGAGGGGGGUAGAAUUCCACGUGUAGCAGUGAAAUGCGUAGAGAUGUGGAGGAAUACCAAUGGCGAAGGCAGCCCCCUGGGAUAAUAUUGACGCUCAUGCACGAAAGCGUGGGGAGCAAACAGGAUUAGAUACCCUGGUAGUCC